GAGAAAAAAAUAAAGUAAAGACUCCCUUUGAUCAUGAAUGACCCAUAGGAUUGUACCAAGAAAGUUCCUCUCCAAGGCACAAGUCUGGACAAGGUGGU
Long non-coding RNA from Octopus sinensis (East Asian common octopus), 98 nucleotides. RefSeq lists it as uncharacterized. The transcript has 3 exons. NCBI's taxonomy places the organism in Eukaryota, Metazoa, Mollusca, Cephalopoda, Octopoda, Octopodidae. The record is from RefSeq and is a predicted model, not a curated record.